Molecule: ribosomal RNA, 492 nt
Filed under: uncultured bacterium
Lineage: Bacteria
Description: partial 16S ribosomal RNA
Rfam family: Bacterial small subunit ribosomal RNA
Source: RNAcentral
AGUGAACGCUGGCGGUAGGCCUAACACAUGCAAGUCGAACGGCAGCACAGUAAGAGCUUGCUCUUACGGGUGGCGAGUGGCGGACGGGUGAGGAAUACAUCGGAAUCUACUUUUUCGUGGGGGAUAACGUAGGGAAACUUACGCUAAUACCGCAUACGACCUACUGGUGAAAGCAGGGGAUCUUCGGACCUUGCGCGAUUGAAUGAGCCGAUGUCGGAUUAGCUAGUUGGCGGGGUAAAGGCCCACCAAGGCGACGAUCCGUAGCUGGUCUGAGAGGAUGAGCAGCCACACUGGAACUGAGACACGGCACAGACUACUACGGGAGGCAGCAGUGGGGAAUAGUGGACAAGGGGCGCAAGCCUGAUCCAGCCAUACCGCGUGGGUGAAGAAGGCCUUCGGGUUGUAAAGCCCUUUUGUUGGGAAAGAAAAGCAGCAGGUUAAUACCCCGCUGUUCUGACGGUACCCAAAGAAUAAGCACCGGCUAACUUCGUG